UCAGAAUCGUUCCGUAAAAUUACUCGAGAAAGAUGCAAGGACAUCUACAACACCAAGCGAGCUCAAUCCUAGCCUACUUCUUCCUACUCCUUCAUCAGAAUUUCUUCUCUCGUUUACGAUACGUCACAGCAGUUUCAGAUGGGAGUGGAUAACAUGCUUAAGAUGAUAACUGAAAUUGAUCAAACCACGUGUGGGGUUAUGGAAGAGAUAGGGAAUGCAGAGAUGCUGCUUUUGAGAGGAAGAAAAGCUUGGAGGAAGAGACGGAAAGGUUUCAGAAAGCUGCUUAUGCUUUACUAGGCAUGCUCAAUAAGAAUUGAUUCGAGACAGGAUCUGUGAAGCAUUACCCUUCAGGGAUUUGCAUCCCUAGCAUCUGCUCUUUGGAUAAAGUGAUGUUUCAAUUUAAACGGGAAACCUUCUUAUGUAGAAUAUGCAUCAUGCAUGAGGUGUCAUCGUUGUGCCAAUAAAUGGAAUCCAAUUUAUUUCAGGAAGUGAUGUUUUGAUGCAUGCAUUUGAAAUUACCUGAUCUGUUCCAUUCUUGUACACCAGCACGUCCUGCAGUUUGAGUCACAGUUCAGAUUUUA
Populus euphratica (Euphrates poplar) is the source of this 581-nucleotide long non-coding RNA. RefSeq lists it as uncharacterized. The transcript is spliced from 5 exons. NCBI's taxonomy places the organism in Eukaryota, Viridiplantae, Streptophyta, Magnoliopsida, Malpighiales, Salicaceae. The record is from RefSeq and is a predicted model, not a curated record.